Molecule: ribosomal RNA, 421 nt
Filed under: uncultured bacterium
Lineage: Bacteria
Description: bacterial SSU rRNA
Rfam family: Bacterial small subunit ribosomal RNA
Source: RNAcentral
AACGAACGCUGGCGGCGUGGAUUAGGCAUGCAAGUCGAACGCGAAAGAGGGGGUAACUCCUCGAGUAGAGUGGCGAACGGGUGAGUAACACGUGAGAAACCUGCCUUCAGCAGGGGGAUAACACUCCCAACGGGGUGCUAAUACCGCAUGAGACCACGGAUUCGCAUGGAUCUGGGGUCAAAGGUGGCCUCUGUUGCAAGCUACCGGCUGAAGAUGGUCUCGCGUCCCAUUAGCUAGUUGGUGGGGUAAUGGCCCACCAAGGCGACGAUGGGUAGCUGGUCUGAGAGGAUGGUCAGCCACACUGGGACUGAGAUACGGCCCAGACUCCUACGGGAGGCAGCAUCGGGANAGGCUUUUGGCAAUGGGGAAACCCUCGACCAAGCGACGCCGCGGUGGGGGAGUGAAGGCCCGUUGGGUUGUU